AAGUCGUAACAAGGUUUCCGUAGGUGAACCUGCGGAAGGAUCAUUAUCGAGUUUUGAACGGGUUGUAGCUGGCCUCUCACGAGGCAUGUGCACGCCUGGCUCAUCCACUCUUAACCUCUGUGCACUUUAUGUAAGAGAAAAAAGUGGUGGAAGCUUCCAGGAUCUCGCGAGAGGUCUUCGGUUGAACAAGCCGUUUUUCUUUCUUAUGUUUUACUACAAACGCUUCAGUUAUAGAAUGUCAACUGUGUAUAACACAUUUAUAUACAA
Molecule: unclassified non-coding RNA, 267 nt
Filed under: plant metagenome
Description: partial contains small subunit ribosomal RNA and internal transcribed spacer 1
Rfam family: Eukaryotic small subunit ribosomal RNA (bases 1-46)
Source: RNAcentral